GCUGCGUCUUUCUGCCCUGCUUAGACUACUGACACUGACGCAAUCUCCGCGCUUUUCCCCAACGCCACCGCGCAGCCCCCGCGUCGCUCUAACCUGCCCCACGGCGGCGGGCUCUGAGAAGGCUGAACUCACGCACACGGCGCCCCCUACGCGCCUCCCGUGUCCAGCCGUCCGCAAACGGAAAACCACAUAUCCCCUUCUCCUUAGACAAUGCCGACGCCACGGAGCAGAGGGAAGGAACAGAGCCGUCGUGUUUAGAAUUCCGGGAGGUGAACACAAAACCGUGAACCCCUGACUGGAAGUAGUCACCGAAGGCCUGUUUGGACAGCAGUCUGCCAGCCUAAAGCAGGUUUGGUUCUCGCGUGGCCGCGGUCUUCGAUAAGCUACCUGCAUGGAGUCGUGUAGAGAGACACGGACAGAGCCAGAAGGAAGGCGGCUCUGAGCCGCUCCACAGGGCUCUUCCACUUAAUGUGUUAUUUUUAACAGUAGUGAUAACGAAAGGACAGCAAGGACAAAAUCGGAUGCGUAAUAACUGACUGGACUGCCUGUCUAAACAACGCCAAAGUGUUUCCAGGUAGAAGCGCCAACAAAACCACAGAUAAAAGUGUAAAAACAUGACCAGAACCUCCACAUGCUUCAUGUGAACCCACCUAUACAGUAAAAAUUGCACUUACAAAAUAAUGACUAAUAACACUAAUGAUAGGAAAUAUAACCAUUUUAUCCUUUUAAAUAUACACAUUCUGAAGAAAUUACAAGCUGCCUCCUCCAUAGUCUGAGCGCCCGUUUAUACGAUUUUAUUUUAUUUUUUGGUUGCUUAAAAAGAAAGGAAGACCAUCUAGAGAAAGCAAGGGAUAGAGAUGGAGAGAGGGAGGGACUCUGACUGAGCGAAAGAAUACGGGAGGACGGAGGAAAUGGAUGAGAAGAGGAAAGUGUUUCAUAGCUGCUUUUUGAACUGAGGGGGUGAGGUACGGGCGUCACGACCCAGGUGCCCGUGACGGCCGACGCUGGAAGACGGGCUUCAGAACGGUGCAGCCGGCGAGCGGAGCCCUACCCACGUCUCACUCAUCACGUUUAACUCCACAAGCAGACGGCAGGCAUUAGCGUAGCCCCCCGUGUGAGGGCGGCCGGCGAACAGCCCAUCGCCCACCAUCCCAGCUCCUUUCAGUCCCUCCCUCCGCUACGUCCAAACUGGUGCUAGAGGCAGCAGCAGUUCGAGCGCCCAGGGGAGAUGACGGAGGUGCGAGUCCAAACGCACGCUGUGGCCAGGCAGGAAUCCCACGGCACGGCUCACCCAUGCCAGACGCCCGCGCUGCAGGUGGACUGUAAACGCUGAGAUUUCCGGAAGAACUCAAAUUUUGAACCGCCACAUGUGCGGAACAGGAAAUGACACGUGAGAGAUGUGCAUCCAGCACUCCACUUCGUGUAGGAUUCAAAUCGUUUAUUUAAUGCAUAUAUUCAUGCAUUUACCCUCAAGUUCCAUACAUAUUGUACUUCCAAUGAAAAUAAACAGGAUGCUUGUACAAAAAUCAAGUUUGAUCAGCAUCACAUAACUUAAUUUCAGGGGGGAAAUCAUCUCUCAUCAACAGCACAGUUCUCAUUGCGUAAGUGUAUUAUGCGUAAUUCCCAAGUCCCACAUGUAGAGAUCCAAGUGUUUCUUAAAUAAGCAAUGCAAAGUCCCAGAAGCUGCAGGUCAGAGAGCUUUUCCUUCUUCUGUCCCGCCAGCCCAUGGGGAAUUUGUGUGUUUCCCAGCCUAACAGCCUCUUGUGUGGCGUAGCAGCCCAUGCACGCGGUGGCUCCAAUUCCUCAGCAGGUUUUUUAGGUGUUGUUACCUCUGGCCAUUACUCAGCAAGCAUUGGGCCAGGGUGAGGUGGACGUCACAGAGCUCAAACGUAACGCCUUUACACAUUCACGGGUAAAGCAAGAACAAUUUCCCUUAAACAGG
Electrophorus electricus (electric eel) is the source of this 1942-nucleotide non-coding RNA. NCBI's taxonomy places the organism in Eukaryota, Metazoa, Chordata, Actinopteri, Gymnotiformes, Gymnotidae. The record is from RefSeq and is a predicted model, not a curated record.